Molecule: non-coding RNA, 248 nt
Organism: Pelobates cultripes (western spadefoot toad)
Lineage: Eukaryota; Metazoa; Chordata; Amphibia; Anura; Pelobatidae
Source: the annotation of a GenBank genome assembly
GCAGUCAUUGCACAGGCACUUUGGUGACUCUAGAUAACCUCGGACCGAUCACACGUCCCCUUGAUGACGACGCAUUCGGAUGUCUGCCAUAUCAACUUUCGAUGGUACGUUCUGUGCCUACCAUGGUGACCACGGGUAACGGGGAAUCAGGGUUCGAUUCUGGAGAGGGAGCCUGAGAAAUGGCUACCACAUCCAAGGAAGGCAGCAGGCACGCAAAUUACCCACUCCCGACGUGGGAAGUUAGUGAC